GACGAACGCUGGCGGCGUGCCUAAUACAUGCAAGUAGAACGCUGAAGUAGGAGCUUGCUUCUCUGGAUGAUUUGCGAACGGGUGAGUAACGCGUAUGUAACCUGCCUGGUAGCGGGGGAUAACUAUUGGAAACGAUAGCUAAUACCGCAUAAUAGUAGAUGUUGCAUGACAUUUGCUUAAAAGGUGCAAUUUCAUCACUACCAGAUGGACCUGCGUUGUAUUAGCUAGUUGGUGGGGUAACGGCUCACCAAGGCGACGAUACAUAGCCGACCUGAGAGGGUGAUCGGCCACACUGGGACUGAGACACGGCCCAGACUCCUACGGGAGGCAGCAGUAGGGAAUCUUCGGCAAUGGACGGAAGUCUGACCGAGCAACGCCGCGUGAGUGAAGAAGGUUUUCGGAUCGUAAAGCUCUGUUGUAAGAGAAGAACGAGUGUGAGAGUGGAAAGUUCACACUGUGACGGAAUCUUACAAGAAAGGGACGGCGAAUUACGU
RNAcentral lists this ribosomal RNA (494 nucleotides) under uncultured bacterium. RNAcentral describes it as "partial 16S ribosomal RNA". It matches the Rfam family "Bacterial small subunit ribosomal RNA", at positions 28 to 506 of the family's 1533-position model. The record is from RNAcentral.